ACCUGGAUACCUCAGUUGGUAGAGCUUCUGACUUUUAAUCUGAGGGUCUAGAGUUCAAGUCCUUAUCCAGGUA
Molecule: transfer RNA, 73 nt
Filed under: Alligator mississippiensis (American alligator)
Lineage: Eukaryota; Metazoa; Chordata; Crocodylia; Alligatoridae
Rfam family: tRNA
About the family: Transfer RNA (tRNA) molecules are approximately 80 nucleotides in length. Their secondary structure includes four short double-helical elements and three loops (D, anti-codon, and T loops).
Source: Rfam by way of RNAcentral